Molecule: non-coding RNA, 203 nt
Organism: Pelobates cultripes (western spadefoot toad)
Lineage: Eukaryota; Metazoa; Chordata; Amphibia; Anura; Pelobatidae
Source: the annotation of a GenBank genome assembly
GUUAGUUGUAAUUAACGUUACUCUUCACUUGUUACUUGUACACUUGUUGCUCCAUGUUUUGGCUUUCUAUGCCAGUGUUUCAAUGCUGAAGUGAUAAAUAGCCUUAAAGUACAUUAUGUGUUCCAUUGUAAACGUUUUACAGGUAAAAUCUGUUAAUUUAUAAUCCAGUUUAUUGAGUGCAGAAUGCUGACGUUCCAGUGAUU